AGCUCCAAUAGCGUAUAUUAAAGUUGUUGCAGUUAAAAAGCUCGUAGUUGGAUUUCUGGUGUCUUUUUGCGUUUCCAUCUUUGCCAGCGAAAUGCUGGUGUUGGUCGCAAUGGAUGCCUUCUUUCUCCAUCAGUUCGUCGCUGAAUCAUUAGUUUGGCUCGGUGAUGAAUGGGGAUCAUUUACUGUGAAAAAAUUAGAGUGUUCAAAGCAAGUAUUAUUUCUUGAAUACAUUAGCAUGGAAUAAUAAGAUAGGACUUGGGUAAUAUUUUGUUGGUUUGCAUAUCCAGGUAAUGAUUAAUAGGAACAUAUUGGGGAUAUCUGUAUUUUUUAGUCAGAGGUGAAAUUCUUGGAUUUAAGAAAGACAAACUACAGCGAAAGCAUUUAUCAAGGAUGUUUUCAU
RNAcentral lists this ribosomal RNA (400 nucleotides) under phytoplankton environmental sample. RNAcentral describes it as "partial small subunit ribosomal RNA". It matches the Rfam family "Eukaryotic small subunit ribosomal RNA", at positions 587 to 973 of the family's 1831-position model. The record is from RNAcentral.